GACGAACGCUGGCGGCGUGCCUAAUACAUGCAAGUCGAACGAAGCUGUUUUAACUGGUGCUUGCACCGACUUAAACAACUGAGUGGCGAACGGGUGAGUAACACGUGGGUAACCUGCCCCAAAGCGGGGGAUAACAUUUGGAAACAGAUGCUAAUACCGCAUAACCACAGAAACCACAUGGUUUCUGUGUCAAAGAUGGUUUCGGCUAUCACUUUGGGAUGGACCCGCGGCGUAUUAGCUAGUUGGUAAGGUAAUGGCUUACCAAGGCAAUGGUACGUAGCCGACCUGAGAGGUUGAUCGGCCACAUUGGGACUGGGACACGGCCCAAACUCCUACGGGAGGCAGCAGUAGGGAAUCUUCCACAAUGGACGAAAGUCUGAUGGAGCAACGCCGCGUGAGUGAAGAAGGUUUUCGGAUCGUAAAACUCUGUUGUCAGAGAAGAACGUGUGCGAGAGUAACUGUUCGUGCAGUGACGGUAUCUGGCCAGAAAGCCACGGCUAACUACGUGCCAGCCGCCGCGGUAA
This 524-nucleotide ribosomal RNA is filed under the name uncultured bacterium. Its description in RNAcentral is "partial 16S ribosomal RNA". It matches the Rfam family "Bacterial small subunit ribosomal RNA", at positions 28 to 523 of the family's 1533-position model. The record is from RNAcentral.